CUAAAUAAAGUAGGAUUCAAGAAAAGUUCAAACAAAUAGAGUUUAGUUAUUAUACUUCACUGUACCUCUCUCUGUUAUGAAUUUCUCGCCAGUCACAGCGAUCGUCCUCUCAAAUGGCAUAUUUCCCCACAAAUUCUAAUGGGUGGGUGAUGAUCAUUUAUACAAUGUGUGUCAAUGUUUUUUUAGGCCGUCUUUGAGUGAAGUUUGAAAACGUAUGUUAUAUUUAGUUAUUUAUUUUAGCAUAAUAUGUAAUUUUCAUUUAUUGUAAGUUUCCUAUUAUUUUUAGGUUUCCUUGUAGUAGUAUAAAACCUGUUUUAUACUUUCUUUGAAAACUCAAUUGAUGGCUUAAUAGAUUUUGGUU
Long non-coding RNA from Olea europaea var. sylvestris, 361 nucleotides. RefSeq lists it as uncharacterized. The transcript is spliced from 2 exons. NCBI's taxonomy places the organism in Eukaryota, Viridiplantae, Streptophyta, Magnoliopsida, Lamiales, Oleaceae. The record is from RefSeq and is a predicted model, not a curated record.